RNAcentral lists this ribosomal RNA (400 nucleotides) under uncultured bacterium. Its description in RNAcentral is "bacterial SSU rRNA". It matches the Rfam family "Bacterial small subunit ribosomal RNA", at positions 359 to 776 of the family's 1533-position model. The record is from RNAcentral.
GAAUUUUGGGCAAUGGGCGAAAGCCUGACCCAGCAACGCCGCGUGAAGGAUGAAGUUUUUCGGAAUGUAAACUUCGUAAGAAUAGGAAGAAUAAAUGACGGUACUAUUUGUAAGGUCCGGCUAACUACGUGCCAGCAGCCGCGGUAAUACGUAGGGACCAAGCGUUGUUCGGAUUUACUGGGCGUAAAGGGCGCGUAGGCGGCAAUUCAAGUCAGCUGUGAAAUCUCCGGGCUUAACUCGGAACGGUCAGCUGAUACUGCUUUGCUAGAGUGCAGAAGGGGCAAUCGGAAUUCUUGGUGUAGCGGUGAAAUGCGUAGAUAUCAAGAGGAACACCUGAGGUGAAGACGGGUUGCUGGGCUGACACUGACGCUGAGGCGCGAAAGCUAGGGUAGCAAACGGG